Hyaena hyaena (striped hyena) is the source of this 73-nucleotide non-coding RNA. Lineage: Eukaryota; Metazoa; Chordata; Mammalia; Carnivora; Hyaenidae. The record is from the annotation of a RefSeq genome assembly.
ACCUGGCUGGCUCAAUUGGUAGGGCAUGUGACUUUUGAUCUCAGGGUUGUGGGUUUGAGCCCCAUGUUGGGUA